UACGUAGGGUGCGAGCGUUAAUCGGAAUUACUGGGCGUAAAGGGCGCGUAGGCGGCCUUCUAAGUCAGACGUGAAAUCCCCCGGCUUAACCUGGGAACUGCGUCUGAUACUGGGAGGCUUGAGUAUGGGAGAGGGAUGUAGAAUUCCAGGUGUAGCGGUGAGAUGCGUAGAUAUCUGGAGGAAUACCGGUGGCGAAGGCGGCAUCCUGGACCAUAACUGACGCUGAGGCGCGAAAGCUAGGGGAGCAAACGGG
This 253-nucleotide ribosomal RNA is filed under the name uncultured bacterium. RNAcentral's name for it is "partial 16S ribosomal RNA". It matches the Rfam family "Bacterial small subunit ribosomal RNA", at positions 524 to 776 of the family's 1533-position model. The record is from RNAcentral.